This 519-nucleotide ribosomal RNA is filed under the name uncultured bacterium. Its description in RNAcentral is "bacterial SSU rRNA". It matches the Rfam family "Bacterial small subunit ribosomal RNA", at positions 994 to 1509 of the family's 1533-position model. The record is from RNAcentral.
AUGGGUCGCAGAGACGCGGCCCUUCAGUUCGGGCUGGCUCCCACACAGGUGCUGCAUGGCUGUCGUCAGCUCGUGUCGUGAGAUGUUGGGUUAAGUCCCGCAACGAGCGCAACCCUCAUCUUUCAGUUUGCCAUCGGUACGGCCGGGCACUCUGAAGAAACUGCCGGUGACAAGCCGGAGGAAGCGGGGAUGACGUCAAGUCCUCAUGGCCCUUACGGGCUGGGCUACACACGUGCUACAAUGGCGGUGACAAUGGGAUGCAAUGGGGCGACUCCGAGCGAAUCCCAAAAAGCCGUCUCAGUUCGGAUUGCACUCUGCAACUCGAGUGCAUGAAGCUGGAAUCGCUAGUAAUCGUGGAUCAGCACGCCACGGUGAAUACGUUCCCGGGCCUUGUACACACCGCCCGUCACACCAUGGGAGUUGGUUUUACCCGAAGCCGGUGCGCUAACCGCAAGGAGGCAGCCGACCACGGUAGGGUCAGCGACUGGGGUGAAGUCGUAACAAGGUAGGCGUAGUGCU